Molecule: non-coding RNA, 148 nt
Filed under: Homo sapiens (human)
Lineage: Eukaryota; Metazoa; Chordata; Mammalia; Primates; Hominidae
Source: Rfam by way of RNAcentral
GCUGGGUGUGGUGGCGGGCACCUGUAAUCCCAGAUACUUGGGAGGCUGAGGCAGGAGACUCUCUUGAGCCCGGGAGAUGGAGGUUGCAGUGAGCUGAAAUCAUGCCACUGCACUCCAGCCUGGGCAACAGAAUGAGAUUCUGCCUCCA